UACGUAGGGCGCAAGCGUUGUCCGGAAUUAUUGGGCGUAAAGAGCUCGUAGGCGGCCUGUCACGUCGGGUGUGAAAGCCCGGGGCUUAACCCCGGGUCUGCAUUCGAUACGGGCUGGCUAGAGUGUGGUAGGGGAGAUCGGAAUUCCUGGUGUAGCGGUGAAAUGCGCAGAUAUCAGGAGGAACACCGGUGGCGAAGGCGGAUCUCUGGGCCAUUACUGACGCUGAGGAGCGAAAGCGUGGGGAGCGAACAGG
RNAcentral lists this ribosomal RNA (253 nucleotides) under uncultured bacterium. RNAcentral's name for it is "partial 16S ribosomal RNA". It matches the Rfam family "Bacterial small subunit ribosomal RNA", at positions 524 to 776 of the family's 1533-position model. The record is from RNAcentral.